This is a long non-coding RNA of Lolium rigidum, 1020 nucleotides long. RefSeq lists it as uncharacterized. The record is from RefSeq and is a predicted model, not a curated record. Lineage: Eukaryota; Viridiplantae; Streptophyta; Magnoliopsida; Poales; Poaceae. The transcript has 2 exons.
UUUUUUGUAUCCAUGUGAGAGAAACAGAAUGCUGACAUCAUCCUUCGAUAACAGGGGUGGCAUAGGACAUGGUUGGUAGCCGAUGGUGCAUCAUGAACAUUUGAAGGAAGGAGGUGCUCGACUGGUUAUUUUUGUGUGAUGGCCGAGGACCCCUUCUUUGAGUGAAGCAUGACCCUAAUAAGUGCAACAACAACAUCGCCAUCACCUGAGUAGGCCACAAGCACGACUCAUCUGCUAUGUCAGUAAAAGGUUUGAUGUGCUACAAGAAUAAUGUGAAGUAUGGAUUUGUUUUUCGAUGAAAUAUGGUUUCCUUAUUACUUCAGUAAAUGCCUGAGUAGUGAGUACCAUGUAUCAGAUUGGGUUAUUGUCGUUUAAAUAUUUUGCAUAUAUGUUUUAAAACUAAGGGCCCUUAAUAAACUAAGUGUACCUGUCUUUUGUUUGUUUUUUAGCACCAUUUCGCUUCAGUUAGCUGAAGGACAAUACAAUGAGCAAUCUUCUACCAUUUGGUUCUGUGCUUUUUCAUGUCAAUGAGAUGACCGAGCCAACACACUCAGAUUCUUUGUACUCUGUUAUUUACUCAAUUUCUUACUGGCAGCCCUGUUCUCAAGUGUCAUAAAUCCUUUUAUAUCUAUUUUCUGCAAGGGAUGUAUGUACUUCCAUCGGCUAUGCACACUAGGUUUUCUCUUGGGAUAACAUUUUAUUUUUCACCUGUAGCUAAACACUGCCUCCUGUAGAUUUUUGUGUGUAAUUUAUGGGAAUUUAUGUUAUCAUCGACUAUGCUAUUGGUGUGUAUACUUUCAUGGUUUGAUCAGCAUGAAGAAUACCAGCCGAGGAAACAAUAUGAUCCAGAGAUCCAAGCCUUUUGAUCCCGGACAGUCGGACACACUACUACCCAGUACCCAGUAGAGAAACAGCAAAUUAAGAAGCUGUGAACCAGAUGCUAAAUAUUGUAGCCUGUAAGACUUUGGAAAAAUAUUGUUAGCUUGAAAGGAACAACGAAGAAGACAUUAUCGUACUGCG